CAUUUUAACGUGUUGUGUGGGAGAAAGAUAUAACUCCAGGCCAAAAACUUUCUGGGUUUAUAACAAUGAGGGGACGGUAAGCGUACUGGGUGUUCGAGCUUCAAUCAAGCUGCUGCAACUUUGGGUUUUGUGUUUCAUGCUUUUGGUCACCAUGAAAAAAAUAGUAUGCCAGUGGGAACUGGGAACUAUAAAACCUUCAGGCAUCAGAGGCAAGAUAAUGUUCAUUAAAAACGACACAGGCUGUCUUUGAGGGGUUCAGACACAUGCCACCAAUGUUAGUCCCAGCCUCAAUGCCCAACAGAAGAAACUCACCUCCCAAUCCGACCCACGACCACCAUUGGUUCUUUCCUACGAACCAUCGAACUCAGGAUAGUUCGUUGUAAGGCUAAGAAGCGAGAUAUUUGAGGAAAAGUACGUCAAGGCAGCCAACGAGGAGAUCUACAAAGUUGUCCACAGACAGACAGAGAGAGACACGACAUGGUCAAGUACUUUGGGGAACAAUUAUCUUCUUUUGCCUUCACCGCCAAGGCGUCAAUGGAUGGUGCAAUCAUAUGGAUCUCGUCUUGUCAAGCCACCAAUUAUCUAUGUUGAUGUCAGCCAAAGACCGUGACCGUCCUCUCGUCCUCCAUGGCUCAGGAAAUGACCAAGUGCCCAAUGAGAAUCAUGAAGAAAGUUAGAUAUUAGUGGUAUGUUGGUUUAUACUCAAUACAAGUGAAUGUUUUGAAACAAUUAUAUGAUCACUCUUCCGCAUCUCAAUAACGAGACUC
Long non-coding RNA from Erigeron canadensis, 767 nucleotides. RefSeq lists it as uncharacterized. Lineage: Eukaryota; Viridiplantae; Streptophyta; Magnoliopsida; Asterales; Asteraceae. The transcript is spliced from 5 exons. The record is from RefSeq and is a predicted model, not a curated record.